RNAcentral lists this long non-coding RNA (341 nucleotides) under Theobroma cacao (cacao). RNAcentral's name for it is "long non-coding RNA (TCAC_LNC005032)". Lineage: Eukaryota; Viridiplantae; Streptophyta; Magnoliopsida; Malvales; Malvaceae. The record is from RNAcentral.
CCUUCGAAAGAUUAUUUUUUAUAAGGUUUUGAAGUUAGGACAAGUUGGGUGAAGAAAGAAGUCAAUUUCAGUUAGGAUUUCCUCAUUAGACUAUGUGGGUCGUAGCCUUACCCAAUUAAUUAACAGAAAUCGUAAUUGCCCUAGAACUACUGUAGUGCUUCAAAUUUGAUAAUGUUUUUGACCAUUUUUCAAGACAAACCAGGUGAAGUGGUAAACAUAAAAAUUAUAGCUUUUUCUCUUAUCUUUCCAAUGGUCAAGAAUCAUCUGAUUUGAACCUCUAUAGAGAGAGUUAUGGUCGAAAUACCGAAACAUGUGCAGUGGAUGUCUACACCUUGAAAUUG